UACGGGGGGGGCAAGCGUUGUUCGGAAUUACUGGGCGUAAAGGGCUCGUAGGUGGCCAACUAAGUCAGACGUGAAAUCCCUCGGCUUAACCGGGGAACUGCGUCUGAUACUGGAUGGCUUGAGUUUGGGAGAGGGACGCGGAAUUCCAGGUGUAGCGGUGAAAUUCGUAGAUAUCGGGAGGAACACCAGUGGCGAAGGCGGCGACCUGGACGGACACUGACGCUGAGACGCGAAAGCGUGGGGAGCAAACAGG
RNAcentral lists this ribosomal RNA (253 nucleotides) under uncultured bacterium. RNAcentral's name for it is "partial 16S ribosomal RNA". It matches the Rfam family "Bacterial small subunit ribosomal RNA", at positions 524 to 776 of the family's 1533-position model. The record is from RNAcentral.